RNAcentral lists this long non-coding RNA (4752 nucleotides) under Heterocephalus glaber (naked mole-rat). Its description in RNAcentral is "lncRNA (ENSHGLG00100044327.1)". The record is from RNAcentral. Lineage: Eukaryota; Metazoa; Chordata; Mammalia; Rodentia; Bathyergidae.
GGGUGAGGCUGUUGAGGCCCCGCCCCCUGUCGGAGCCGGUCCUUUUUUCCGGAAGGCGGAGGGUAGGCUGUGGCCUUGGGUCCCCAGCGGUGCGGCCAUUGCUUGUGCGGCUCCAGGGCCGGGCACGUGCCUCUAUAGCAUCCCCUCCUCCUCUGGAUGUUUGGGGAUCGUAGUGAGAUCUUGUGUGGGAUGGCCUCGGGUAGUGGCUUCCGGAGGCCAGGAUAAUGGGAAGGCAAGACUCCCCACCUCAGCCCCUCGCUCCUGCUUCUGCAGGGCCUUUGAAAAGUUAAGGCUCUGGGCCUUCAGCUCUACCCUUUCCCCUGUCCUAGGGCUAGAGAAAGGAGGGCGCCAGCAGUGCACCCAUUUCCAGGAUUGGACCCUGCAGUUCUAGCUGGCUUCUUCCAACCAGGGAGCACAGCCUACCCUAGUUGGCAGCCGCUGGACUGCCUGGCCAGAAGGCACAUUCCUAUCUCCUGAGCCCAGGUACCCCGCCUGCCCUCGGGGCAGCCUCUUCCGGAACUUUGCUGCCAAUUCAGCCCAGCCCUCUUGUCAGUGUUGCCCUCUCCCUCAGGCUUCUUGUGCCUUAAGUCCCCAACUGCUUUUUUCCCCUAGUCUAUUAAGAGGCAUAGGACUCAGCUGGCCUUUGUCCCUCCUACCUGUACUGGGCAGACAGCUAAAUUUAAUGUCGGUCUUUGGGUUUUGGCAGGAAGGCUAUGUGUCUGUUGAGCAACUGUCCUCCAGCCUUUCUCAGCCUUACCCAGGGUACGAGCACCAGGGGUAUGGCAGUGGAUUUUGUUUGCAGCAGAAUGAACUCAGGAUUGAUACCAGAAAGGCCUUUCCAAUCCUAAGCAUUUUAUUUUUAGUAAGAUCAUCAGAUUAUUGAUAUGUUGAUUGUAGAGAAGUCCAAGAAUUGAAGAACAAGGCUGGUGCCCUGUAGUGGAUGCUUGUAGUUGGAGCUACUUAGGGUGCUGAGGUGGGAGGAUCACUUGAGCCCAGGAGUUCUGGACCAGCUUGAGCAACCUACCAAGACUCUGUCUCUUAAAAAAUAAAAAUAGGGCCAGGGAUUUAGCUUAGUGGUGCUGCCUGCCUUGUAAACACAAGGUCCUAAGUUUGAUCCCCAGUACCAAAAAAAAAAGUCUUAAAAAAAAAAAUAGAUGAGCACAAGUAAGUAAAAAUUCCCUAUGAUCCCACCACCAGGACUUAACAACUGUCAGCAUAUUUUCUGUGGAUCUGAUAAACAAUUAAUGAUUAAUAAAUACAAAAUCUGGAGUCAUGCUAUAUAUUUUGUUUGGUAAGGCCCUUGGUGUUUUAAUAGCUUUUUCCUCUCACUAUAAAAGGAGGAAAGGCUAAUUACAGAACUUUUGGAAAAUAUGACAAGUUAAAAGGAAAAAAAACCGAGUCUCCAAAGGCAGCCACAGUGUUUCCUUCAUCACCUGGGUUAGUGUUUAGUUUUGAAUGAUGGUACACCAUCACUUCUGUAUAUACUAUUUCAAAUCCUGCUUUUCUCAAUGCUAUAUAGUAUGCUUCUUUGUUCCUGUCAGCUUGUGGAAGGCUUGAGAGUUGAAAACCUGUUCUUGGAGGAGCUUUAAAAAGUCAGAUUUCAGGGGUGAUUUAUUGGACUGGGAGGUCACUUUCCAACUUUGGUAAUCCUCUUUACCUGCAAACCCCCAAGGAAUGGUUCCCCAUUGCCACUAACCUCUAAUAAGUGUCUUGGGGUGAGUGUCCUGCUUGCUGGGGGCCCAGGAGGCCACUUCGCUUGCACAGGGACCUGGAAGACUCGUGGCUGACCCAGCUGACCUAGCUGAGAUGUGGACUCAGGCAAAGGGCAUUGAUCUGGCUCAGAUGUGAAAGAGUUCAGGGAGGUCUCAGACAUCAGCCUUAUGGGGACCUGGCUGGCUCAUCCACUCUCAGAUCCAGAGGCCCCUUGUUGGUCCUGUGAAACACCUGCUAUCCUGGAUCCUCAGCUUCUAGCUAGAGGCAUAGAGGCUGGCAUCAGAUGCAGUCUCCUCUGACCUGCUGCCCCCAAGCCUAGUACAAGCUGCCCUUGCCUCCACCACCACUGCUGCUGGGGCUUCCUCUUCUUUCCCUUUCCUGAACAGUUAGUUCAUUUCUAACACAUUCAAGCCCUAUGUGAAAAUUGGUUGCCAGAGAUGGAUUGGCAUUUAAAAGGCAUCCAAAACAAAGUGGGUGGGAUGAGAGGAUAUGGAAAAGAGACAAAGGAAUGUAGGGCCCUGUGUUUUGAGCAACAGCUGGAUUUAGUAGAUGGAAAAAAUCACAGAAGGCCCUUAUUUCUGGCACAGGGGUUCUGGGUGUGGCACCAGACACACCAUGUCAUGCCUGGUCACCGCAUGCCACUACCACUGUGUGCUCUCAGAAAUGAAAAGAUGAGGGAGGUAUAUUGUCAGCCUGUAGCCAGUGUCCCUAAAAAUUAUAUUCUCCUAACAGGUUUAUUCAUUUAUCCAAUAUUUAAAUCCUUUUCACUUUACCUAUCUCAAGGAGACACCCAGAUUGGGACCCAGAUUGAUGCUCUGAACAUGGUUUAUCUGGAUUUGCUCUUGUGGGCUGGGCACUGCCUGUGUAUAGAACUUCCCAAGUGACAAGAUGGUAUAUAUGUAUGUCUUGUGGGAUGAGGACUGGUUCUUCACAUGGAGAUGGAGGAGGAUGCUACCAGGAUGGAACCCAGGGCCUCCUGCAUGCUAGGUAAGUGCUUUACCCCAGCUUCCCACUUGCUUUUUAUCAAUGGCAGCCAAUGGCCACUGGCUGAGUUGCCCUUUGCGGGCAUCUGCUUUUCCACUGGGCCAUGGGCACUGGGAGGAAUGAGGUGCUGGUAAACCUUGGCCCUUUGACCCAGUAUGCCUUGACCUAAGGUCCAGGAAGGACUGCUUUGGGGACUGAAGGAACACUGAUAAGCCCUUUUGUCCAAGAGAGCUAGGUCUUUCUGCCUUGUGGUGUAGAGGGCAGAGAGAACUUGAAAGUCAAGGUAGUCCAGGCCCACCUUUCACAAAUGGAGAAAUUCAGUCAGGAUGGCACACAGCCUGUUAGUGGCCAAGCCAGGUCCCUUAUGCAGAGCAUGGCUCCCAUUCUGGUGCUCUGGGGUGGCUCAUGCCUCUCUCUCUCCCAUUUCCUCAUCUGUCUUUGGCUCCUCACAUAUGAGCUUCAGACCAGACUUGAGCAGGACCACAUUGGCCAAGGCACAAGGAAGGCUGAGAUUUGUAACCAAAAUGAGUCUAAGCAGGACUCAAGAACAGCCAGGAGCGAUGGGAAAAUCCCUGCUCUUCGGGGCCAAGUCGCAGGGCAGGGUCGGCUCUGCAUUUGGGAGAUUCCCUGUCCCAGAGAAGGCCCAGUGGGUGGAGAGGUUGCAGGUGGUCUUGUAACUGCCCUUGAGGUCUCCCUUAGUAGCUAAUGCAGUGGUGGCGAACCUAUGUCAAUCGUGUCAGUAGGCACGCAGAGCCCUCUCUGUUGGUAUGUGAGCCAAGUUGCCCUAGCAUCACCCCAGCAGCUGAGCCUUCAGGUUUAAUUGCAAUGUUGGCACUUUGCAAAAAAUAAGUGGGUUCUGGGUUGCAAUUUUGCCAUUGUCUCUAAAAGGUUCAUCACCACUGAGCUAGUGUGUUAUCACUACUUCCCUAAGGAGGCUGUCCAGCCCCCACCCCCAUACCUUUGCAGACCAUUAGGUAGCUCCAGAGUGGUCUGGCCCUUUGGUGAGAAGGGGCAGCUAGCCCCUCCCCUGUAUGCAUCCCCCAGGGCAGGUUGGCUGUGGAGCCGUCAAAGCCCCUGGGCCAGCUGUGAAAGAGCAGGGGGCUUGAGGCAGGAAAGCCCAUGCCAGGCAUGAAUUUUUUUUGGCACUGUGACUUUGUGAUAAUAAUGCUUCUAUCUGGUGGACAUCUAUGUUUGCAGGCCUACUGUGUGCCAAACUCUGAAAUUAGCCAUGAUCUGGAUGGAUAGAAUCCCUUUUUUACGGGGUGGGGGUGUUUUGAGACAGGGUCUCACUAUGUAGCCCAGGCUGGUCUCCAACUCAGCAAGCCUCCUGUCUCAGCCUCCCAAGUUCUGGGAUUACAGGUAUGUGCCACCUUGUCCAGCUUUAGAAUUUCUGUUUUGAGGAGGUGUAGCCAAGGGAGAAAAGGCAUUAAUUGAAAAGCCUAGUUCUCUGAGUUAUUGUGUGUUCAUGUAUGGGAGUACACGUUGAUCACAAGGCAAGAUGAGAUGGUAAAGGAUGCAGAGCUUCUCAGAUGCAGACAGGGAGCCCUGGGCCUAGGCUGGAGCUGAUCUGGGGACAGAUAAAGGCUGAGGCAGUCCAAACUGAAAGAAUCGGGCAUCCUGAUUCCAGCUGUGUGGCCACAGUCAACUGUCCACCUUCUCUGGGUUCCUUUGGGGCUAGCAGUUUCCUUCCAGCCCCAUUAGCACUCAGGCAGUGUAUCUUCUUUUCCAGUGCUCUCCGAGGUCCUGGUCUUCAAGAUAUCUGGCAGCAACAACCUUGACUUUGGAAUGCUUGAGGCACUGCCCCAGGGGACGCCUGGAGCCAGCACAGCACAGCUGCCUCAGGCCCCACCUGCCAUUUCCUCUUUGCCCUUUUGCUUUCCCAGAGCCACCCCCUUGGGCCAAAAAAAGCCUGAAAGAGAGGAAAUGAAUUGGUCCUUAUUUCCCCCAUGGAGGUCCAGGGAGGUCCAGAGAGACAUUCGUGUGUUCACUCAUUGAAUUAGUGAUUUUUGAAACACCUGUGAAUUACUAGGUCCUAUGGUAUGUGUUGGAUGGUCC